UACGUAGGUGGCAAGCGUUGUUCGGAAUUAUUGGGCGUAAAGGGCGCGUAGGCGGCAUGUUAAGUCGGCUGUGAAAGCCUGGGGCUCAACCCCAGAGGGUCGGCCGAUACUGGCAAGCUAGAGUACGGAAGAGGUAGCUGGAAUUCCCGGUGUAGCGGUGAAAUGCGUAGAUAUCAAGAGGAACACCUGAGGUGAAGACGGGUUGCUGGGCCGACACUGACGCUGAGUGCGCGAAAGCCAGGGGAGCAAACGGG
This 254-nucleotide ribosomal RNA is filed under the name uncultured bacterium. RNAcentral's name for it is "partial 16S ribosomal RNA". It matches the Rfam family "Bacterial small subunit ribosomal RNA", at positions 524 to 776 of the family's 1533-position model. The record is from RNAcentral.